GUUCUUAUAGUGUAUAAAGCACACUAGAUUUUCAAUCUUUUAGAAUAUUAAUUAUAUUAUAUUGGGAAUA
RNAcentral lists this transfer RNA (70 nucleotides) under Ascarosepion apama (giant Australian cuttlefish). Its description in RNAcentral is "tRNA-Glu". The record is from RNAcentral. Lineage: Eukaryota; Metazoa; Mollusca; Cephalopoda; Sepiida; Sepiidae.